CAGGGAAUUGGGGUCAGUUCAUCAACAGUGUCCCAGCAAUGAUGCAUCAUGGCUCUUCUGUCAGAGAAUCCCAGCAGCUCUCAAUCCACCGUGGUUUACAUCCCAGGAUCCUUUCUCUUUUGGAAUAAUUUAAUACAUGAUUACCAGAGGUUUCCAUAUAUAGUAGCCUCCCCAAGACUUAUGCUUCAGUGGUUUUUGCUCUUUGAUUCUGGAUCAGUUUGAAAGAAGACAAUGCUGUCUUAGCAAUUUAUAUACUAGGAAUGAUGUAGACUGUGCAUAGUUGAAGGCACAUGUUGGCAAGAGGCUAUAAAGGUUCCCAAUCAGCUUGACAGAAUGGUAUACAAAUAACUGGCCAGAAAUGCCUUUCUGCUCUUAAGAGAACACCUAUACUUUGUGUAUAUAUAGCCUGCCAGGGGAGGGGGUUCGGGUGGGUGGGAGAGCACAGAACCCAAUUGCCCACUCCCAAUGGGCACUUCCCAUCUUAUGAUUGAGCCCCUCUGCCCAUAAGCACCACAGAAUCCAAGCUUCACCAGAUACCAUGGCACACGGACCCUUCCUCUUUAGGUGAAUUUCAAAAUUGCCACUGUCAACUUGGGACCAAAUAGCAAAAUGUCACAACCAGACAUAUUAACUUGGGGAAUGGAGGAAAUCAUUUUAACACAAUAGAAAGGUAGACUAAAUAAGUAAGAAUAAAUGUAGAUGGGGGAGGCCGGCAGAAUGCCCGGAGUCUGGAGCAUUUCUUGCACUGACAGGAAAUGUACCUAGGUAGGCACCUACAUUUCCUGUACCUACCUAUAUGUUCUUU
RNAcentral lists this long non-coding RNA (805 nucleotides) under Homo sapiens (human). Its description in RNAcentral is "HSALNT0102902". The record is from RNAcentral. Lineage: Eukaryota; Metazoa; Chordata; Mammalia; Primates; Hominidae.